AACGUAGGAGACAAACGUUAUCCGGAGUUACUGGGCGUAAAGGGCGUGUAGGUGGUUUCGUAAGUCUGGCGUGAAAUUUCUCGGCUUAACCGAGGCAGGUCGUCGGAUACUGCGGAACUUGAGGACGGUAGAGGCGUGUGGAAUUCCUGGUGUAGCGGUGAAAUGCGCAGAUAUCAGGAGGAACACCAAUUGCGAAGGCAGCUCGCUGGGACGUUACUGACGCUGAGACGCGAAAGCGUGGGGAGCAAACAGG
This 253-nucleotide ribosomal RNA is filed under the name uncultured bacterium. RNAcentral's name for it is "partial 16S ribosomal RNA". It matches the Rfam family "Bacterial small subunit ribosomal RNA", at positions 524 to 776 of the family's 1533-position model. The record is from RNAcentral.